AUUCAGUGACGAGUCCCAUAUAGGACGAAAUGCGCAUCCUGGGU
Molecule: non-coding RNA, 44 nt
Filed under: Trichobilharzia regenti
Lineage: Eukaryota; Metazoa; Platyhelminthes; Trematoda; Strigeidida; Schistosomatidae
Source: RNAcentral